RNAcentral lists this ribosomal RNA (1206 nucleotides) under human gut metagenome. RNAcentral's name for it is "bacterial LSU rRNA". It matches the Rfam family "Bacterial large subunit ribosomal RNA", at positions 770 to 1989 of the family's 2925-position model. The record is from RNAcentral.
AGGACCGAACCGACUACCGUUGAAAAGUUAGCGGAUGACUUGUGGAUAGGGGAGAAAUUCCAAUCGAACCCGGAGAUAGCUGGUUCUCCCCGAAAUAGCUUUAGGGCUAGCGUCGGAAAGAACCUUAGUGAAGGUAGAGCACUGAAUGUGUGAUGGCCCCAUCCCGGGGUACUGAAUACAAUCAAACUGCGAAUGUCAUUAAGGAUGUCCGGCAGUCAGACUGUGAGUGAUAAGGUCCAUGGUCAAGAGGGAAACAGCCCAGACCGCCAGUUAAGGUCCCAAAAUACAUGCUAAGUGGAAAAGGAUGUGGGGAUGCCCAGACAACUAGGAGGUUGGCUCAGAAGCAGCCAUCCUUUAAAGAGUGCGUAACAGCUCACUAGUCGAGUGACCCUGCGCCGAAAAUGUACCGGGGCUAAGCCUGAUACCGAAACUGCGGAUUGUAGGAAACUAUAGUGGUAGGGGAGCGUUGUAUACGAGCAGAAGCCGUACCGUGAGGAGCGGUGGAUUGUAUAGAAGUGAGAAUGCCGGUGUGAGUAGCGAGAUGUAGGUGAGAAUCCUACACACCGAAAGCCCAAGGAUUCCAGGGGAAGGUUCGUCCGCCCUGGGUUAGUCGGGACCUAAGGCGAGGCCGAAAGGCGUAGUGGAUGGAAAGCAGGCGAAAGAUUCCUGCACCCGUAUAUGGAGCGAAGGAGUGACGGAGACGGAUAGUGUGACCCUCUUAAUGGAUUGAGGGCGAAGCGAAGCGGCUGGUUACCAGGCAAAUCCGGUAACUGAAAGGCUAGAGCGUGACAGGUAAGCGAAAUCUUAGGAAAGUAGCGAAGCACAUGAUGACGGCUUCCAGGAAAAGCUUCUGGCAAUGCAUAUGCGGCCCGUACCAAAACCGACACAGGUGGGCAGGGAGAGAAUCCCGAGGUGAGCGAGAGAACUGUUGCCAAGGAACUCGGCAAAAUGACUCCGUAAGUUAGCGAGAAGGAGUGCUUAAGCAAUUAAGCCGCAGUGAAGAGGCCCAAGCGACUGUUUAACUAAAACACAGCUCUCUGCGAAGUCGCAAGACGAAGUAUAGGGGGUGACACCUGCCCGGUGCUGGAAGGUUAAGAGGAUCUGUUAAGAGCGAUCUGAAGCAGUGAUCCGAAGCCCCAGUGAACGGCGGCCGUAACUAUAACGGUCCUAAGGUAGCGAAAUUCCUUGUCAGGUAAGUUCUGACCC